GAUGAACGCUGGCGGCGUGCCUAAUACAUGCAAAUCGAGCGAACAGACGAGGAGCUUGCUCCUCUGACGUUAGCGGCGGACGGGUGAGUAACACGUGGAUAACCUACCUAUAAGACUGGGAUAACUUCGGGAAACCGGAGCUAAUACCGGAUAACAUGUUGAACCGCAUGGUUCAACAGUGAAAGACGGUCUUGCUGUCACUUAUAGAUGGAUCCGCGCCGCAUUAGCUAGUUGGUAAGGUAACGGCUUACCAAGGCAACGAUGCGUAGCCGACCUGAGAGGGUGAUCGGCCACACUGGAACUGAGACACGGUCCAGACUCCUACGGGAGGCAGCAGUAGGGAAUCUUCCGCAAUGGGCGAAAGCCUGACGGAGCAACGCCGCGUGAGUGAAGAAGGUCUUCGGAUCGUAAAACUCUGUUAUUAGGGAAGAACAAAUGUGUAAGUAACUAUGCACGUCUUGACGGUACCUAAUCAGAAAGCCACGGCUAACUACGUG
RNAcentral lists this ribosomal RNA (497 nucleotides) under uncultured bacterium. RNAcentral's name for it is "partial 16S ribosomal RNA". It matches the Rfam family "Bacterial small subunit ribosomal RNA", at positions 28 to 507 of the family's 1533-position model. The record is from RNAcentral.